GAUUUGGCUUUGAUAAAUGGUUGUUAACUCUUCAUGUUCGAAGAAUAGUUCAACCUAUUUGUGUUAAGCACUAAUAAAAUUAAUUAGAAAGAGUUAACUUUAUAGUAUUAAGUAUAAGAAUGAUUCUUACCUUAUCCAUGUUAACAAUUUUCAUGUACCAACAAGCCUUGGAAGCGUUAAAGUGCCUCAGCCCCAUGUUUGAAUUUCUCUUUUCAGCAAUGCAGCAACAGUGAAAUCUCUAGGAGGACUGAGUAAGGAAUCUUCCAGAAGAAAUUCAAUUUAUCUUGUGGGGCCACUAUUCAAGACUUAAGGUCACCAUUUGGCUAUAACCGCCGUCCACACACUAAAGAUGUAAGGUAUGAUUUUCAGUUACAUGUUAUUGAUACAUUCUUUUUUGCUUUGUUUGGUAGGCUGUUCUACCUUUUUUUUGAAAUUGCAGAAUAGUAAAAGUGCACGAAUCAUCUGGUGUGGCUUUCUCCACUACCAUUAUUCGUCCCAUUUUUAUUCUUAUAAAAUUUAAAUAAUUCACUUGAGAAAACUUGAGGGGCAUAUUGAUACUGAAAAUACUUUAUAAAGUAUGAAUGAUACAAAACUCGCAUCAGCCUUAUUAUUUUUCCUUUGGAAUUGGAAUGCUACAAGCUUGGACUUCUUUUAAUUUCUUAUGCGUUACUUUUACCAAUAUACUUUCUAUGUGAAAAAUAUUUCUGCUUAUUUUUCAUUUGAGGUGAUGGUGUUUUGCUAUGUUUCUAUUAUUAAUAUGUUAUUCAUCUUGAAGUCAGUGAUUCAUUUGCGUUAAGCUUCUUCCAGAUUGAUUUUCCAGGCUAAAAUGGCAAGAACUUGCCUCCUUUCACUUAAGCGUUACUGUAAAAUAUGGGUUCAUCAAAUUUCUCUUAUAAUAUUUUUUAUUGGGAGGUUCCUUCCAUACCAUCAUAUUUAACUCUUGGUUUGUACAUACAUAGAGGGAAUAAACUUCUACAUAGGAUGGUAAUAGUAUAAGGAGAA
Molecule: non-coding RNA, 1002 nt
Organism: Nicotiana tabacum (common tobacco)
Lineage: Eukaryota; Viridiplantae; Streptophyta; Magnoliopsida; Solanales; Solanaceae
Source: RefSeq, a predicted model, not a curated record